UACGGGGGGGGUAAGCGUUGUUCGGAAUUACUGGGCGUAAAGGGCCAGUAGGCGGCCAACUAAGUCCGACGUGAAAUCCCCAGGCUUAACCUGGGAACUGCGUCGGAUACUGGAUGGCUUGAAUUCGGGAGAGGGAUGCAGAAUUCCAGGUGUAGCGGUGAAAUGCGUAGAUAUCUGGAGGAAUACCGGUGGCGAAGGCGGCAUCCUGGACCGACAUUGACGCUGAACGGCGAAAGCUAGGGGAGCAAACGGG
RNAcentral lists this ribosomal RNA (253 nucleotides) under uncultured bacterium. Its description in RNAcentral is "partial 16S ribosomal RNA". It matches the Rfam family "Bacterial small subunit ribosomal RNA", at positions 524 to 776 of the family's 1533-position model. The record is from RNAcentral.